GACGAACGCUGGCGGCGUGCCUAAUACAUGCAAGUCGAGCGAACAGACGAGGAGCUUGCUUCCCUCACGUUAGCGGCGGACGGGUGAGUAACAUGUGAAUAACCUACCUAUAUGACUGGGAUAACUUCGGGAAACCGGAGCUCAUACCGGAUAAUCUAUUGAACCGAAUGGUUCAAUAGUGAAAGACGGAUUUGCUCUCUCUUAUAGCUGCAUCCGCGCCGUAUUGGCUAGUUGCUAGGGUAACGGUUUACCAGGCCAACGAUGCGUAGCCGACCUGAGAGGGGGAUCGGCCACACUGGAACUGAGACACGGUCCAGACUCCUACGGAGGGCAGCGGUAGGGAAUCUUCCGCAAUGGGCGAAAGCCGACCGGAGCAAGGCCGGGUGGGUGAUGAAGGUCUUCGGAUCGUAAAACUCUGUUAUUAGGGAAAACCAAAUGUGUAGGUAACUAUGCACGUCUUGACGGUACCUUAUCAGAAAGCCACGGCUAACUACGUG
RNAcentral lists this ribosomal RNA (497 nucleotides) under uncultured bacterium. RNAcentral describes it as "partial 16S ribosomal RNA". It matches the Rfam family "Bacterial small subunit ribosomal RNA", at positions 28 to 507 of the family's 1533-position model. The record is from RNAcentral.